Molecule: non-coding RNA, 46 nt
Organism: Danio rerio (zebrafish)
Lineage: Eukaryota; Metazoa; Chordata; Actinopteri; Cypriniformes; Danionidae
Source: Rfam
GCCAUGGCGUUUUUCAAUGCCACCAAAUUCUCAAUUGAAAAUUUUU